RNAcentral lists this ribosomal RNA (252 nucleotides) under uncultured bacterium. Its description in RNAcentral is "partial 16S ribosomal RNA". It matches the Rfam family "Bacterial small subunit ribosomal RNA", at positions 524 to 776 of the family's 1533-position model. The record is from RNAcentral.
UACGUAGGUCCCGAGCGUUGUCCGGAUUUAUUGGGCGUAAAGCGAGCGCAGGUGGUUUAUUAAGUCUGGUGUAAAAGGCAGUGGCUCAACCAUUGUAUGCAUUGGAAACUGGUAGACUUGAGUGCAGGAGAGGAGAGUGGAAUUCCAUGUGUAGCGGUGAAAUGCGUAGAUAUAUGGAGGAACACCGGUGGCGAAAGCGGCUCUCUGGCCUGUAACUGACACUGAUGCACGAAAGCGUGGGUAUCAAACAGG